UUAAAUUAGAGAUUAGAUCUGCUUACAGCGCGUCAUUUACAGUAUGUGUUUCAGAAAAGUGAGUGAUUAUAAAUACACUGACCAAUUCAUAGGUGAUUUAUCAAUUCAUACAUGCAGCAUUUCCAUGAUUUGGUGGAAUUGAGAUCAUAUCAUAAGUAAACCGCGGAGUUUGUGUAAACUGUGCAUCCGACCACCGUUUUUCAGGUCGACUUGGGUAAGGUUUGCAGGUGCUCCGUCUGUGCACAAACUUCCAUUUUGUGUUUUUUCAAGGUUCAAACAUGGUAAAAUUGGCUUUAAUCUGUUCUGCGACCUGCACCAUUUAACAAACUAAAUCAAAAGCCACACCGCUAGGCUAUUUACAAAACAAAUAUAUAUCGAAAUAUGUAUCGGCUAUACAUCGAAAACACACAUUAUUUUACACAACUAUGAAAAUUUUAACACGUUUGUGAUAAUUAUUUCACCAAUGAUGCAGCUUGUAGAAACUCCUGAGUUUGCAGUAACUGAAAAGCACUUCACUAGUGCGUAUCUGCUCGAGAGCUCCACAGUUUUUUUCAAUCUUAGCAUCUGAUGACAUGAUGCACUAAACAUACUAAUAAUAACAGUGUGAUCAUACAGUACAGGGAACAACCAAUGCUGAUCACAUCUGUGUUAUCAUACGCAUCAAAGGGUAAAAGGGCGUUAUAUUUUUUUUUAUAUAUAUAGAUAUAUAUAUACAUUUUUUUUUUUAAAUAUAUAUAAUAUAUUUUUAAUUAUUAUUCUGUGAUUCCUCCGUGCACCUCUAGAAGAAAGCCUGCGUACCACAAUUUGAGAACCACUGGUAUAGAUAGAUAGUUAGGCCUUGUCUGUGUCAGGUUUUUCCUUUUUCAGCUAAUGGAGGGCAGGCAGAAGAGGGAGACUCAAAAGAGCAUCGGUGGACAUUUAUCUAGAAAAUGCUGGAGAACAGCAGGUAGGGCUCUGUCAGUACUGUCUAUGGGUGCGUUCCAAAUCACAUACUUGUACACUAUUCUAUGCCAUUUUGUAGUGUAAAUGGUGUAAGUAGUGUGUUCACACUGAAAUAUUCUUUUUUUUCGGCUUUUUUGCCUUUAUUUGAUAGGACAGUAAUGAGACAGGAAACGAAGUGGGAGAGAGAGAAGGGUGUAGGGUUGGGAAUUGUCUUUGAGCUGGGUUUCGAACUCGGGACGCCCUAUUGUGCUACUGCAGCAUAUGUCAGCGCAUUGACCACAAGGCUAUUGCGCUGACAAUAUUCUUUUAUUUUAAAAAGAUUAAGUUCACUUUAAAUUCACGGAUGAUGCUCUUAUUUAACCGUUUAAAAGAAGUGUGGACUGUGCACUUGAGGCUGUCUUUGUUUGUUUGCAGAUUGGAGUGGAGCAGAAGAAGGAGACUCACAAGCGGAAUGGUGGAGAUAUACUGCAAGACCUGGAGCUCAGGAAGCAGGUUGGCAUGGAGCAUGUGGAGGAACAGGGAAACGCACCUUAGUGUUUCUUUUUCCUGUAAUGGACACACAACAGACAGAAGAAGGAGACUCACAAGAGCAUCGGUGGAGAUUUGUCUGAAAACCGCUGGUUAACAGUUUAUGCAUUUCUGGAGUUCAGCAAGCAUGUAGAGCUCUGUUAGUUGUGUCUUUAUCUUUUCCAGGCUGGAGUGCAGCAUGUGGAGACAAAUAGGAAUCACACACCUCAGCAAUGGACACUAAUGGUCAGGAAUAUCCUUUAAAGGUAGAUGAAUAGGUGCAUGGAUGGAUGUCCUUCCAAGUGGAAGGGGGUGGUGGUGGGCAUAGAUUGUUAGAUAUAUGUAUUGUCUGUGGCUAUUAUUUACAACUUCAACAGACAGAAGAGUCAGACUCACAAGCAAAAUGGUGAAUAUUUAUCUGAGGAACACUGGAGAACGUUUGGUUUAUUGAUGCAGAUCAUCCAGCAAGUAGAGCUUUGUUAGUCUUGUUUUUG
Molecule: non-coding RNA, 1943 nt
Organism: Danio rerio (zebrafish)
Lineage: Eukaryota; Metazoa; Chordata; Actinopteri; Cypriniformes; Danionidae
Source: RefSeq, a predicted model, not a curated record